CAUUUUCUUAGUUUGGAGUUCCACCAUAUUGUGUUUGAACAACAUAACUUUCCAUAUACGAGUACAGGGGCUAAUUUAUCAGUAAGAAAAUAAACAUGUUUUAUUGUACAGAAAUCAAAUCCAUUUGAGAACAAACUCAAAGCAAACGAUGAACAACAUUUAAUAUAUAUUGCUUCUUAAAAACCCCACUCCCAUCGAUCACACAGUCCUACCAAAAAGAAGAAAACAGAAUUACAACAUGCAGACUUAGAACUGGUAAAGGCAGCUUCCAUCGUCACUCCUUGCAGUUGGAUCAAAGUUGUCUGCACUUGGGUCGGUGCAUCCUUCUGGAACUGGCAAAUUUCCUUGCUGAGCCGCUUUCCCUGCAUGUAUUAUAUUACCAAUGUGUCAUUCAUUUGAGACCUCUUUAGUUUUACAAACGAAUCUCCAACCAUAUAUUAUCAUUUUAAGUUUUACACUUUGAUUGCGGUAAACUAUAUACAGUAUUAUAAAGAGGAUGCAUGGCAAACCUCCCAACAUGGUGAAGGCUGUUCGCUUCCUCUCUAGUACAAUGAAGGAGGAUGAAGGAGGGGAAUGAAUGAAUCUAACCGUAGAAACUUCCACGAUCAAUGGCAUCCUUGUUAGCAUCACCAAGAGCAGCCUCGCUCAUAUACUUGUCGGCCAACUGCACUCUCUUGACGUUGUCUUGCUCUUGCACCAACAUGUUCCCGUACUCCAACAGCUUCUCAACUGUCAUUUUCGGCUGCUCGAAUGUCGGUGGCCCGUCCUUUGAGUUCACCAGCUUCUUCCCUAUUGUGUCCACUCCUACUCCCGAUAUCCACUUCCUCACCUCGUCAUCGUACACCCUCGCCCUCAGCGCCCCAAAGAAAUCUGUUACAAAGGGUAUAGUGUAGUCCAUUCAUGUUAAGAUACGAACUACACAAAGUAAAAUACGGAUUACAAAUAGCAACCCUUAUAUAUGCAUGUCAACAAGUUACAUAUAUAAGAAACAAGGCUUUUACGUACCGAUGGAUUGGCCAGGGAAGGAGUCGACGAUCCUGACGAUGUCAUCGUUGGGGAUGUUGUCGGUCUUGAAGAUGCCAAUGCAGACACCAAUACGGUCAUCCCUAGUGGGAGCCCAGUAGAACUUCUCCAUACGACCAUCACGGAUGAGAGGUGCGUAUAGUGUUGAGAAAUCAUUACCGGUGACGAUGAUUGGGACACGGGCGUUCUCUUCCUUGUUGUACAUACCGGGGAGCUGGACGUUGGUUGGGUUAUCGGCGAUGUUCAUGAGAGUGGCGUUGACCAUCUGGUUGUUGACUGUGUACUGGGUUGUCCCGCCCAUACGACCGGCACCUGCGUCGAGAUCGUUGAUGAAGAGGCAGCACAUUUUCCCCUUCUUGAUAAUGUCCGACGCCUCACGGUACCUUUGCCUUAUCAGUUUG
This 1424-nucleotide long non-coding RNA is filed under the name Linum usitatissimum (flax). RNAcentral describes it as "long non-coding RNA (LUSI_LNC006834)". The record is from RNAcentral. Lineage: Eukaryota; Viridiplantae; Streptophyta; Magnoliopsida; Malpighiales; Linaceae.